CCUUAUACAUGCAAGUCGAACGGAAAGGCCCUUCGGGGUACUCAAGUGGCGGACGGGUGAGUAACACGUAGGAAUCUACCUUAGAGUGGGGGACAACCAAGAGAAAUCUUGGCUAAUACCCCAUAUGCCGCAAGGUGAAAGGUUUUUCGCUCUAAGAGGAGCCUGCGUUGGAUUAGCUAGUUGGUGGGGUAAAGGCCUACCAAGGCUACGAUCUAUAGCUGGUCUGAGAGGAUGAUCAGCCACAAUGGGACUGAGAUACGGCCCAUACUCCUACGGGAGGCAGCAGUAGGGAAUCUUGCGCAAUGGACGAAAGUCUGACGCAGCAAUACCGUGUGCGGGAAGACGCUCUGUGGAGUGUAAACCGCUGUCAGA
Molecule: ribosomal RNA, 372 nt
Filed under: uncultured bacterium
Lineage: Bacteria
Description: bacterial SSU rRNA
Rfam family: Bacterial small subunit ribosomal RNA
Source: RNAcentral